UGGGUAUUAUUAGGAUAAUACAUUUCAAAUCGGUUAGUUGGUUGACAGCUGAGCCGAGUAUCGCUAAUAGACAGUUGACAGUUUGUUGUAUACAUAAAUCGGCAUGAAUCGGGAAUAGUGUGAGUGAUUAGUGCGCACUAUUAGGACAAUUGAAAAUUGAUUGGAAGUGAUCAUUAAGCUUGACAGGUAUUUCACCUAAACGUGUGAGUAACGCAAUAUGGCGCAAUACUUGGAUUCGGAUCACCGUCAAAUGUUGUCUCCACAAUAUCAAACCAGAUCUCUGGAUAUGAGCACCAAACUUCAAGACAAUAAACCAUCCUUCUGCAUAGACGCUUUAUUAUCUAGAUCGGAUGCUUUACUUGCUAGAACAGAUUCCAUAAUAACCAGAACGACAGAUCGAGAUCAGGUCAACUCUCCCGAAACCUCACGAAGUAUAUCCCCAACCUCAACAAGAAGUAGAAGCCCUCCUAUAUCCCCUGGCAGCGAAGAAGUACCGCAAAGCACAUUCGUCCCGAGGCCAGGGUUACUGAGUCACAUCUAUCCCAACGGGGGAGGAUUCUAUGGGUAUCAGUCACAAAACCAGAGCUCCGCAUUCCAUUCGUUAGAUGGAAGUAUGGUUCAAAAAGUUCAUAUGCCUGUUGGACACCACAACCAAAAUCACAUUCAUCAGAUGCAGCUGGAAUGGUUUGCAAGAACUGGCAUGUUUUAUCCGAGGUUACCAGAUUUAACAGGGUGUGGUCCUGGUCACGCAUUACUAGGAAAAACAAGAAGGCCCAGAACAGCAUUUACCUCGCAGCAACUUUUGGAAUUAGAAAAACAGUUUAGGCAAAACAAAUAUCUUUCCAGGCCAAAACGGUUUGAGGUGGCAACUAAUCUAAUGUUAACGGAAACACAGGUAAAAAUAUGGUUCCAAAAUCGCAGAAUGAAAUGGAAACGCAGUAAAAAGGCCCAUCAGGAAGCCAAGUCGUCCAAAGAACCUUCGGAAAGUAAACCUCAACCUGUAAGCUGCUUCAAGUCAUGUUCCUCGAGCUCCGAAACAACAGAAUGUACUACCACAGCGGAAAUGUGCCAACCCUCAAAAAGAACCGAGGAAAACGAAUCUCUGUAUAGGCCAUACGUUGUUUAGAGACAUAAAUUAGUGGACAAAGUGUAAAUAUAUCAGAGUUUCGCUCAAUGUCGAUAGGAGUGUACAUCUAAAACAGCCGGUAUACGGUUUUUCUUUCAACAAAAUACAUUUUCAAACGCAACAAUCACGUACCUAUAUUUUUCCUUGUACAGAUCAAGACGAGCUAAUAAAACCUAUUUAUGAACCCCAAUUUAACAUAAAGAAUAUACAGGGUGUCCAGAAACUCUACGUUAAAGGAGGACAGGAGAUUCCUCAGAUAAUUUUAAGACAAUUUAACCCAAUUCACCUAGUCCGAAAAUGCUUCCUAAGGGAGCUAGAGCUCUUUGAAGAUGGCGUCAUAUAAUUAGUUUUUCUUAAAUACCUCCAGAACGCUUUUAUUUAGAAAAACAAAAAUUAGUGUGCGUAUUUAUUUUCCAGAAAUGAAUCGAUUCCAUCCAUUGGGCAUUUCCAGUACCGGUCAUAGGCGUCCGUUUUGGGUAGGGCAACGGUUAUUUUAUUGCCUAACUUUUUUGUCUUUAAUUUUUAAGCAUGUUUGACUCUGAAUUAUUAAAUUGUGAGGUAUUCUAGUACUAAAAGGUACUCUUAGUUAAAGUCGAUAGGAUACACUGUUUUCUGGAAAAAAUCGGUUUGAAAAUUUUUCGUUCUUUGAGUUUCAAAAAAAAAAGAUUAAAAAAAACUAUUUAGAAAGAUAAAAACUGAUACAUUUAUUUAUAUUCCAUAGAUUAAUCGAUUUCAUUAAUGGCGAAUUUCUAGUACCGGUCAUAGGCGUCCGUUGUGGGUAAAUCAACAGUUAUUUUAUAGCAUAACUUUAUUGUCUUUAAUUUUUAAGUAUUUUUGACACUAGAUUAUUCAAUUAUGAGAUAUUCGAGUAUUAAAAGUUACUCUUGCUUUAAGUUGGUAAAAAACAUCGUUUUUUUUUAUUUUUUUUUUUCAAAUUCCCAAAACUAAAAACAUUCAAAUCGAUUUUUCUAGAAAACGGUGUGACCUACCGACUUAAAGUAAGAGUACCUUUUAGAACUAGAAUACCUCACAAUUUAAUAAUCCCGUAUCAAAAAUACUUAAAAGUUGAAGACAAAAAAGUUAUACGAUAAAAUAUCCGUUGCCCUACCCAAAACGGAUGCCUAUGACCGGUACUAGAAAUUUGCAAUGGAUGGAAUCAAUUCCGUUCUGGAAAGUAAAUACGUAUACCAAUUUUCGUUUUUCCAAAUAGAAGCGUUCUGGAGGUAUUUAAGAAAAACUAAUUACAUGGCGCCAUCUUCAAAGAGCUCUAGCUCCCUUAGGAAGCAUUUUCGGACUAGGUGAAUUGGGUUCAAUUGUAUUAAAAUUAUCUGAGGAAUCUCCUGUCUUCGUUUGUCGGUAGAGUUUCUGGACACCAUGUAUAUUGUUUGUAAGACAUUCUUUUUCAAAAUAAAAAUGGAAGAUUUUAGAUAGGUGUAUUCAAUGAAAGUAAAUUGAAAUGCAUUGAAGAACGCUUUAAAAAUAGAGAAAUUAGAAACUUAUGUCAAUGGGUAAAAAAUGGGAAAAGGGAUACCAAAGAAAACCUCUACAGGACAAAAGCAAAAAUGGAAGGAAUUUAGUAAAAGACGAGGAAACACUGAAGAGAUAAAAAAAUACUUCGAAAAGCUUGUAAAUGAAAUACCUACCCAUAAUAGACUAUGAAAAAGAAGAAUCAAAGGAAAAUACCAAUCAAGAACGAACAGAGGAAAGCGCCUAAUGAAAAAGAAAUAAUAAAGAAACUAAAGAACAAUUGGAGCCCAGGAAAGGAUUAACUGACAGCUGAAAUGUUCAAAUAUACCUAGAGUCUAGAGUACCAGUACCAGUACUAAUUAAGCAUUUGGAAAAAUGGCUGAAAGAAAUAUGGGAAGAAUAGCACAUACCGAAAGAAUGAACCAAAGUCACAAUGUGUCCAAUUCCCAAAAAUGGCGACAAAAGUUUAUGCCAUAAUGACAGAGAAAUAGACCUACUAAAUGUUGCAUAUAAAACACUUGUUAAAAAAAUAACAAAGCUGUUGUAAAAUUCCAAAAUAUUAAUGAUAACUGAAAAAAAACAUAAUAUUUUAAUAUGACUACCCCUACUAAAUGUACUUAAUAUUUACUAAUAAAAAUUCUAAAUCACUUUAAAAUUCAAUCCCAACAUUCAAUUCUAUAAAAUGCUAAAAAUCACUUGAUUGCCCUAUAACAAAUGUUUAUGCUCUUAUUUUAGCACUUAAAAUUGAAAUUGAUAGUUUGAAAAUGUGCCGUAUAUAAUAGAUAAAUCCUUGAAAAACUUUGUAACGAUAAUUUUUAUAGAAUAAAAUAGUACUUUAGCUCAAUUACGAAAUUUUAAUCUCAUUUAAUAAGAUUAAGGGAUUAGUUUAGGUAUGUGAUAAGUUGCGAUUUUACAUCGUUUUUUUUUAUACCAAGAAAUAUAUAUCAGAAAAUACUUUCAAAACAAAAAAAUUAUAUUUUAAUUACAUAUAUCCUUGAAUCAAUUACGAUUUUACAAUAAUUCUAAUAGAUAUGCGGUAAAUAAACGAUACGCAAUAGCAUCGGCCAUUUUUAAUUUUUUUUUAUUUUUAACUGAGCAAUAAAAAUGAACAUCACUUUAAAAAUUAACAUGCUGGCUUGAGAGAAUUUUAUGUAUUCAUAUACUAGCGUAAUGAGUUACUUCUCCAAUGAAACAAUAUUAAUCUUUCUUCCCUUAGGUCUUUUGUUCAUGUUCUCCAUCCAUGUUUCUUGAGUCUUCUACUUUGCAGUCUUUCUAUGAGUUGUUUCGUCUCCCCUCUUCUUUCUUCUGCAUAUUUUUUCUACCUUUCUUCGUUCUUCUUUAAAUUUUUUGCACCUUUCUCGUGUUCUUCUGUGAGUAUACUGCACGUAUAGUUCAUUUUUAUCUUUUGCUUCUUUAAAUUGUUCAUUAAACCAAAGCUAUCUUCUUUGAUGUUUUUUAAUUCCUAUCACUCUUAAAGCAGUUUCUCAUAUUAACUUCUUAAUCAUAUUCUAUUCUUCUUCUUCUAUUGUUUCUUCUAUCUCUUUUCGACGAAUUCCCUAUUCAAUUCUUCUCGCAAUCGCAAAGCAGUUAGCAGGUUCCGAAAUUAAAACUGGAAUGACGAGAUGACUUCAAAAAUUUUGGACUAAUUACGAUGCUGUGCCACCUACAUAUACCUUUUUUUGGACUGAGGUGGAACGCUCUUAUCUAACUAGGGAAGAUGUCCCUAGUACUGUUGGACUCGGACAGGAGAGGAGAACACGCCAGGGCACAGAGACCAGAGUAUGGUCCAUGUGUCCCGCGUGCCCCCCAUAACCAGCCGCCUACCAACUAAAACCACCCCCUCUUCCGACCCGGAAUAUCCCUGAACGUGUUCAGUGGAUGAACGAAACAUGGGGAUAUUCCGCGCAGUCUAAAAAGGAUGUCUGAAGAUAUCUUACGUGUUAAAAAAUCCUAUUAUGCUUGCCUAGAAGCGGCAGGCACAUAGCAGGAAGUCUGUAUCUAAAGUUUGAAUAACUGAACCCAAAGCACCUGCCUAAAAGCGGCAAACGCUUGUGGAAUAGGUCCUGGCUCAAAAGUUUCACCAGAGCAGCGGAGAAACGUAGCUAGACGUGUUAUCGUAUCUAUGGUCCUGGAUCAGGGAUUCCUCUCAAGAGGGAGAAAAAAUUGUCUUUAGAAAGGAGAAUUAAGGUGUUGGAUAUACAUAUACCUAUAAGGUGCUCGAACGAAUGAUUCUUAAUAAGCUAACAGCUGCUAUUGAUCGUCUUCUAAUCACCCAAUAAGCUGGAUUUAGACCUGGUGAAGGUAGCACCUGGCAACUACUUAAACUAACUCAAAACGUAGUACUGAAUAAUGGUUUCGAAGGUCGCAAAAUCCCUGGGGCAGUGUUUAUAGAUCUUACAGUUGCCUAUGACACAGAUGAGCAUAGGAUGCUUAUUGGGAAACUUAGGGCACAAAAUAAUAGACAGCUUCAAGGAAGAACUUUGGUCCCAACUCUAAUAUCGAUAAGAACGACAUACCUUUAUUAUCAGGUACACAGAGCUUUAUAUACGCAGAUGAUUAUGCCAUUACAGUCCAGGCCGACGAUUUCGAAACUACUGAACAAAAAUUAUCCAAAGCUCUCAUAUGCAAAUGCUGUCGUAGAGUUCUGCCAAUUAUGUUCCACAAAUUUUCGAACAGGUUAAGAUCUGGACUAUGCGAUGACCAAUGCAAAGUGCGAAGAUUUACCUGUUCUAAAUAUUUGUAAUCGAACUGCUAUAGUUCGUAAACGUGGUCUCGCCAUUAUCGUGCAUUAGCAAAAAAUUGUUACCGAUAUAAGGAGCCAAUAGCAUGGUAGCUAAGACCUUCGCUUAAUUUAUCACUACACUCAUCGUGGGUCAAAUUCCUUGUAGCGCGUUCCAUUUCCACCAAAUAACAAAAAAAAAACUACGGACUUAAUUGAAACUUUUUCUAUUCUCUCAUACUAUAAUAUAUCAAUUAUGAUGUCACUACCUGUAUCAUAAUGAACUUCAUUAUGAUACAGAUUUUCAUUAAGAUACAGAUUUUUAACCAAUAGAAUCGCGAUAUGGCAUUCGUGAUAAUGGCAUUCGCGAUAAAGGUGGUACACGCGCAGUGACCAAUGGCGAGUCAAAUACAUACGCUUUGACAGUUCUCAAUAUGUAAACAAACCGUCAAACUGGCAAACGUCUGAAUUUAUUUGUGUUACAAAAUUAAUAAAUUUGAAUAUAUUUUUUGUUGUGAAUGAUCAUAGAAAAAAUAGUGUAUACAACUUGCAUUUAAUUAUCAUUAUGAAGCUCGUAUUCUAUACGAAACUCGCCGCAUACGGCUCGUUUCGUAUCCCUCAUAUACUCGCUUUAUAAUGACCAUCAUUAAAUGCUCGUUGCAUAAUAUACUAUUAACCCGGGAGUAGUCGCGCUCACUUCUGUAACGUCGAUAGUCGCGUGUGAGAUUCUAUCUCAAAAUACGAAUUUAAAACACAUUUUCAUUUUGUACUAUUUUUAUCUACUUUUUAUAUUGAAAAUAUAUAUUUCUAACAAUUUUAUUAAAAAACCUGUGUUAACGGCCAUCUGCCAACAUCAGCCACCUGUCCUAACGGCCAGUUUAAAAAUUUCCCAAACCAAUUAUAUGUAGACUACAAAAACUGGCAAUAGCGGCCACCUUUCUAUAUCGGCCAAUAGUUCUUUCAUUUUUAGUGGCCGUUACUGACAGGUUUUACUGUAUUACGAAAAAGGAUGAAAUGUGAGAUUCUAUCUAACGGCGCGACUACUCGCGGGUUAAAGCUAAUUGGCUCUCCCCAAAGCCAUAAAUUCCACAAAAAGAAGAAGAAGAAAAAGAAAUUCCUACUCAUUACUACACCCUUCCUCGAGGCACUUACGAAAUUUUUUCAAAAUUGCAAAACUUUUCAUCAAGUUAUCGUGAAAAAGGAUAAAAAUUGAGAAUUCUAUCUCACCGCGCGACUACUCGCGGGUUAAAUAAUAAAUCUACUAAUUUCCACAACAAACCAGACACUUUUUCACUGUUAACCAUUUGACAUCCAUAUCCAUUAAAUUGUUAAUUUCUCAUAGCCUACUUUAGGCUUGUUUAUUAAACUAAGCAGAAAAUGAGGACUUAUUGAUGAAAAACUUCGCUAGCUGUUAACGUACCUAACUUUUUUAUUAUCCAACAUAAGCAAAUGAAUUAAAAAAGAAACUGUUAAUAAAGCCUAAGGCUACAAUUGAAUUUUAAUUUAAAUAUUUUUUACAUGCUAGAAUAUUCCACAGGGUGUUCCGAACUUUAAGAAAAAAACACAUUAUGAUUGUUACACCCGGUAUAAAAUGACCUUUACCUGUUUAAGAAAUUCGAGACUUCUAACGUGUACAAUUGAGUCGAUUAUUUUUCUCUUAAGUGUAUUAUUAAUCAAUUAUAAAAAUAGAUUUAUUUACAAAAAAAUAUUCUAUAAUUCGGUAUAUUAUUUUGUCAAAUGAUAGAAAAAUUGUUCCCUUGAUACAAUUUUUGUAAUACACAUAAUAAAUACUAAUUUAGUUGAAAUGUAGCCAUGUUUAUAUAAACAUAGAUAGAGAAUGAUAAAUAUUUCUUGGUAUUGAUAAACUACCACUUUUCGAGAAUUUUGUAGCAUACUGUAUAUUAUGUGUAUAUAGGAUAAUUUAUUUCAUCCCAACCAUAUUUGUUUGGUUGUUAUUGGAUCUCUUUAAGUUGUAAGUACUACCUCAUUAUUUUUUACGUGUUUCUGGUGUAUAUAUUUGAGGUUCCUAUAUAGAGAAGAACUGGAUUAUAUAAGUACUUCAGAUCAAAUAGUUUUAAAAGAUUUUAAAUAUUCAUGAACAACUAAUUUUGACAUUAUUUUUGUUAUCUUAAAAUUCAAACAAAAUAAUAAACAUUGGCUCUCAGGGAAAACCUUGGAAUUAAUGGAAAAAGGAAGAGUUAUGCUACUCUACAACAUACCAUAAAACAGAAAACAACAUUCAAGAACUACCGAAACUAAACAGUAAAAUAAAAUGGAUGUGCCAGAAAAGGAUCAGACAUUUUCUUAUAAAGUAGCAAUAACAUUCUUUAUUCUGAAUAAUUCCUAGUUUAAUAUUUUCUUCUGGAUUUCGUAAUAGUCUUCCCAGUAUCGAAGAUCUUGUUCCUAGGUAUGAUUUCUCUAUGUUUUUCUGUGUAGGUUUUUAGAUCCUAAUACCACCGACCCUUGGAGGACUUAUUAAAAAGUCUUCAGUACUCAAAAAAAUUGUAACUUUGACUUUAUGUAAAAGCCUGACAGAUCUUCUGUUUCUAUUGCGCCUGUCUGGCGCACGUGUAAAGCUUUUACAUGUGCCCAGUGCCCAGACAGAAACCUUUAGCUGCUGCUAUCAACCGGGUUAGAUGAAACUUGGUUUUUUAGAGUUGUUGCUUCUCUGUACCUCCCUUCACUCUCAUCCACAACUCUUCAAUGUUUAUAAGAAUAUGCUGAUUUCCUCUGAUUGAAGGUUUUUGCUCAAUUUUUUCUAUCUUACGCUAGCUCUGAAGAUCAAAUGCACCAGCAGAAUUUUUUUAAUGCACCACAUUUUUUUACGAAAUUUGGUGAAAGUUUUUUAUGUACCAAACAUAUUGUUAUCAUCAUUAUCUUUGCCAUUAUCCCUACGCGUUGUCGGCUUCUCUAAUUUCUAUUUUAUGGAGAUAUCAACAUCAAUACCUUUACCGACAUGUCCUGUCUAAGCGUCUCCCCUCAGGUCUUCUUUGGUCUUCCUCUCCUGCUUCUUCCAGGAACUCACUGUUCAGCAAUUCUUCUUAUUGGGUGAUUAACAUCGAAAACCAUCUUAGCCCAUGCUCCCUCAUUUUGGUAUCAAUACGUGCCACCUAGACUUUCCCUAAUACACUUAUUCCUAAUUUUAUCCCUUUUUAUUAUUCCACUCAUCCAUCUAAGCAUUCUCAUUUCUGCCAUGUGCAUUCGCUGUUCCUCUUCUUUUUUAAUUGCUCAGCAUUCAAUUCCGUAUAUCAUAGCCGGUCUUAGAGCUGUUUUAUAGAAUUUUCCCUUCAGCAUCAUUGGAAUCCACUCAGCCCUAAUGCUGGUGAAUACAUCUCUAUCUAUUUCCCCAUUACUCGGUAAUACCGAUCCUAGGUAUUUAAAACUCUCACUCUUCACAAUCAUUUCACCAUCCAAAAAUAUUCAUUUUAUUUGUAAUAAGUCCAUAUUUUCCCAUUAUUUUGAUUUAAUUUUGGUUGGACUGCUUUUUGAAAAACGUUGGUACCUUUUUUUCAUUUAUAUCUCUACUCUCUGAACAUAAAUAUACAUUAUUAUGGCAAAUUUUCCCAGAAAAUUCAAGAAAACAAAAAACUCAAAUUAAAAAAAAAUUAAUUAUGUAAAAUUUUGAUCUAUUUAUUAAAAUUUAUAAUUUAUUUAAUCAAAAAAAGGUAAUAUGCCGUGUAACAAUGAUAAAAGAAAACAUUUCAAAUUAAUGAAAAGUCUUUCUUACUUUUCUUGAAAUAGUUCUUGCAAUUAUUUCUGACAAAUAUGUAUGUAUUUUUCACAUAACUCGUACAAUUAUAAUCCAGUCCAUCUCUGUUUCUAUCUAAGUAAGAUAAAAUAAUGUAAUUAAUAAAAAGUUUUACCAAUA
RNAcentral lists this unclassified non-coding RNA (9180 nucleotides) under Diabrotica virgifera virgifera (western corn rootworm). RNAcentral's name for it is "homeobox protein Hox-B7-like". Lineage: Eukaryota; Metazoa; Arthropoda; Insecta; Coleoptera; Chrysomelidae. The record is from RNAcentral.